UACAGAGGGUGCAAGCGUUAAUCGGAAUUACUGGGCGUAAAGCGUGCGCAGGCGGCUUUGCAAGACAGAUGUGAAAUCCCCGGGCUCAACCUGGGAACUGCAUUUGUGACUGCAAAGCUGGAGUGCGGCAGAGGGGGAUGGAAUUCCGCGUGUAGCAGUGAAAUGCGUAGAUAUGCGGAGGAACACCGAUGGCGAAGGCAAUCCCCUGGGCCUGCACUGACGCUCAUGCACGAAAGCGUGGGGAGCAAACAGG
RNAcentral lists this ribosomal RNA (253 nucleotides) under uncultured bacterium. RNAcentral's name for it is "partial 16S ribosomal RNA". It matches the Rfam family "Bacterial small subunit ribosomal RNA", at positions 524 to 776 of the family's 1533-position model. The record is from RNAcentral.